AAGAUGACGAGUGGCGGACGGGUGAGUAAUGCUUGGGAAUUUGCCUUUAGGUGGGGGACAACAGUUGGAAACGACUGCUAAUACCGCAUAAUAGCUACGGCUUAAAGGGGGCUUCGGCUCUCGCCUUUAGAGAAGCCCAAGUGGGAUUAGAUAGUUGGUGUGGUAAUGGCGCACCAAGUCAACGAUCCCUAGCUGGUCUGAGAGGAUGAUCAGCCACACUGGAACUGAGACACGGUCCAGACUCCUACGGGAGGCAGCAGUGGGGAAUAUUGCACAAUGGGCGCAAGCCUGAUGCAGCCAUGCCGCGUGUGUGAAGAAGGCCUUCGGGUUGUAAAGCACUUUCAGCGAGGAGGAAAGUUUGGUGGUUAAUACCCAUCAGAUGUGACGUUACUCGCAGAAGAAGGACCGGCUAACUCCGUGCCAGCAGCCGCGGUAAUACGGAGGGUCCGAGCGUUAAUCGGAAUUACUGGGCGUAAAGCGUACGCAGGCGGCCAUUUAAGUCAGAUGUGAAAGCCCCGGGCUCAACCUGGGAACUGCAUUUGAAACUGGAUGGCUAGAGUGCGACAGAGGGUGGUAGAAUUUCAGGUGUAGCGGUGAAAUGCGUAGAGAUCUGAAGGAAUACCAAUGGCGAAGGCAGCCACCUGGGUCGACACUGACGCUCAUGUACGAAAGCGUGGGUAGCAAACAGGAUUAGAUACCCUGGUAGUCCACGCCGUAAACGAUUCUACUAGCAGCUUGGCGCUUAAGCGCUGUUUUGCGAAGCUAACGCGA
Molecule: ribosomal RNA, 771 nt
Filed under: uncultured Psychrosphaera sp.
Lineage: Bacteria; Pseudomonadati; Pseudomonadota; Gammaproteobacteria; Alteromonadales; Pseudoalteromonadaceae
Description: bacterial SSU rRNA
Rfam family: Bacterial small subunit ribosomal RNA
Source: RNAcentral